UGGGGGAAACCCUGAUGCAGCAACGCCGCGUGGAGGAUGAAGGUCUUCGGAUUGUAAACUCCUUUGAUCGGGGAUGAAUAAUGACAGUACCCGAAAAACAAGCCACGGCUAACUACGUGCCAGCAGCCGCGGUAAUACGUAGGUGGCAAGCGUUGUCCGGAAUUAUUGGGCGUAAAGGGCGCGUAGGCGGUUCUUUAAGUCAGAUGUGAAAUCCCGAGGCUCAACCUCGGGCGUGCAUUUGAAACUGGGGGACUAGAGUGCAGGAGAGGUAAGUGGAAUUCCUAAUGUAGCGGUGAAAUGCGUAGAUAUUAGGAGGAACACCAGUGGCGAAGGCGACUUACUGGACUGUAACUGACGCUGAGGCGCGAAAGCGUGGGGAGCAAACAGGAUUAGAUACCCUGGUAGUCCACGCUGUAAACGAUGGAUACUAGGUGUGGGAGGUAUCGACCCCUUCCGUGCCGCAGUAAACGCAAUAAGUAUCCCGCCUGGGGAGU
This 494-nucleotide ribosomal RNA is filed under the name uncultured bacterium. Its description in RNAcentral is "bacterial SSU rRNA". It matches the Rfam family "Bacterial small subunit ribosomal RNA", at positions 372 to 881 of the family's 1533-position model. The record is from RNAcentral.